GACGGGGGGUCCUAGCGUUGUUCGGAAUCAUUGGGCGUAAAGCGUGUGCAGGCGGCUUUGUAAGUCAGAUGUGAAAGCCCCGGGCUUAACCCGGGAAGUGCAUUUGAAACUACAAAACUUGAAUAUGGAAGAGGGUCGUGGAAUUCCAGGUGUAGUGGUGAAAUACGUAGAUAUCUGGAGGAACACCGGUGGCGAAGGCGGCGACCUGGUCCAAUAUUGACGCUCAUACACGAAAGUGCGGGGAUCAAACAGG
RNAcentral lists this ribosomal RNA (253 nucleotides) under uncultured bacterium. Its description in RNAcentral is "partial 16S ribosomal RNA". It matches the Rfam family "Bacterial small subunit ribosomal RNA", at positions 524 to 776 of the family's 1533-position model. The record is from RNAcentral.